Molecule: ribosomal RNA, 470 nt
Filed under: uncultured bacterium
Lineage: Bacteria
Description: partial 16S ribosomal RNA
Rfam family: Bacterial small subunit ribosomal RNA
Source: RNAcentral
GACGAACGCUGGCGGCGUGCUUAACACAUGCAAGUCGAACGCUGAAGCACCAGCUUGCUGGUGUGGAUGAGUGGCGAACGGGUGAGUAAUACGUGAGUAACCUGCCCUUGACUCUGGGAUAAGCCCGGGAAACUGGGUCUAAUACUGGAUGCUACAUGUCACCGCAUGGUGGUGUGUGGAAAGGGUUUACUGGUCUUGGAUGGGCUCACGGCCUAUCAGCUUGUUGGUGAGGUAAUGGCUCACCAAGGCGACGACGGGUAGCCGGCCUGAGAGGGUGACCGGCCGCACUGGGACUGAGACACGGCCCCGACUCCUACGGGAGGCAGCAGUGGGGAAUAUUGCACCAUGGGCGAAAGCCUGAUGCAGCGACGCCGCGUGAGGGAUGACGGCCUUCGGGUUGUAAACCUCUUUCAGCAGGGAAGAAGCCACAAGUGACGGUACCUGCAGAAGAAGCGCCGGCUAACUACGUG